UACAAUGUUUUUACUCUUCGUAUUAUUUGAAAUUUUUUUUGCGAUUAAUAUUUUUAUUCUUACUAGAUAAUAAAACAUGAAUGGUACUUUAUGUGUGACUAACUUUUUAAGUUUUUGUACAAAUUUUUUGAAAUAAGACAAAUGGUCAAAUGUUAAAUACGAAAA
RNAcentral lists this microRNA precursor (165 nucleotides) under Oryza brachyantha (malo sina). RNAcentral's name for it is "MIR812 microRNA precursor family". The record is from Rfam by way of RNAcentral. Lineage: Eukaryota; Viridiplantae; Streptophyta; Magnoliopsida; Poales; Poaceae.